CGGGUGAGUAAUGCGUGACCAACCUGCCCCAUGCUCCAGAAUAGCUCUUGGAAACGGGUGGUAAUGCUGGAUGCUCCAACUUGACGCAUGUCUUGUUGGGAAAGUGUUUAGUGGCAUGGGAUGGGGUCGCGUCCCAUCAGCUUGUAGGCGGGGUAAUGGCCCACCUAGGCUUCGACGGGUAGCCGGCCUGAGAGGGCGGACGGCCACAUUGGGACUGAGAUACGGCCCAGACUCCUACGGGAGGCAGCAGCG
Molecule: ribosomal RNA, 252 nt
Filed under: uncultured Gardnerella sp.
Lineage: Bacteria; Bacillati; Actinomycetota; Actinomycetes; Bifidobacteriales; Bifidobacteriaceae
Description: partial 16S ribosomal RNA
Rfam family: Bacterial small subunit ribosomal RNA
Source: RNAcentral